UACAGGACACUAUAAGGGGUUUCUCUUCAAAUUAGCUAGCUACGGAUGGGUGGUCUUGUAAGCCUUUGAAGCAACCUUCACACUAACUAGAGACAACAAACAUACAGCAUUCGCUAAUUUUAAUUAGAUUGGCUGCGAUCGUUUCAGAUGUAAAUCAGCUGGUGCUAACGAAGCGUGAUGUCGAAUAGUUCGCCACCAGACACAAUACCAGCAUUUCCUGGAGAGAAAAAAUGUCAGAAGAUCUAACAUUACGUCUUCUCUGAAACCUGUGUAGAAUAUCACGACUGCGUCAUCACUUCGUGUGUAGACCACCUGUUUCCGGUUUGCGAAAGUGGGGUGUGCUCUUGCCGGUCAGUGGUCAAGUGUCCAAAUUCUGGGGCUGUGUGUGCAUUUCGUCACGAAUGUCUGAGUUUUGCCAGAGACUGUUCGUGCGACACUCAUCAGAUCCAUUGCAUAGACCAACACUGUCACUGUGGCUUUAACAUCACUGUCUUCUGGUGAAGAGACAAUUAAAAUAUGUUUAAACUGUAA
Molecule: long non-coding RNA, 531 nt
Organism: Gigantopelta aegis
Lineage: Eukaryota; Metazoa; Mollusca; Gastropoda; Neomphalida; Peltospiridae
Exons: 4
Source: RefSeq, a predicted model, not a curated record